RNAcentral lists this unclassified non-coding RNA (347 nucleotides) under Hevea brasiliensis (rubber tree). The record is from RNAcentral. Lineage: Eukaryota; Viridiplantae; Streptophyta; Magnoliopsida; Malpighiales; Euphorbiaceae.
AUAUAUUUAAUUAACAUUUAAAUGUAUUAUAGUUUAUAUUUUUUUUUAUGAGUAUAAAAGUUUUAAACAUGUAACUUUUUUUAUAUGGUUGAAUUUAAAUGUUCAUUUGGAUUUUAUUAAUAAUUGAAAAUCUUAUAUAUAUACACGUUUUUCCACUUUAUCGUUUUCUAUAUUUUUUAAAAUGUCAUUUCCCUGUGUCAGUUUCUGCUUGUUUCCCUGUGUCGUUUCCCUGUGUCAGGCUUAUCUUUCACAUUUUUGUUUUCUAAGCCAAGUUUGUUUCUGCUUGUAUGGUACUAAUUCACAAUUCGUUGGUGAGUGAAGUCAUAAUCAACCAAGAGGAUCUUGUA